AGCUGCCUACAAGCAAUCGAUUUUAAGGUAUCAUAUUAUUAAAUGUAUUUGUAGCUUAUGCCACUUCGACGAUAAGCAAACUCUUAUCAGUCGCCAAUGCGGUAGAUAACGAAUCCAAUUUCAUGUUUAACUCAACCUGCUAAGCAGUUCUCACUUGUCCGUCCACCGGUUGUGAUCGCAUAGUGAAGUCCUCGUUUAUUUGAUUUGGCUUUCGUGUUUUCUGAAGAAUGUUGCGAAUGACGUUUCGACCGAAAUUGCUACAUUUUUUAUACCUUGUGAUAUUUAUUUAUUUGUAUUUACUUCUCGAGCGCUUAAUACUGCAAAAUGAACGCCUGCGCGAUGAUCUCAAGCUGAAGCAGCGCCAAUUGCUCUACCCAAAGCCAAAUCCCCAUUGGAACUACAACAACAGCUGGCGGCGCAUUGGCAACGCCUCGCUGAGGCAUGAAAUAUAUUCUGCAUAUUUCGAUGCACGCACCGAUAUUGUAGGCACCGUUCGACUGGAUGAGGAGAUCACAGUUGGUUCGCUGCGUGUUUUUGCCAUUUUGCCGGAGCGACUGCGCGACUCGCGUAUCAGUUGCAUCGUGCGCUUCGCGGACUUCAGCAGCUAUGAGAUUGUGGCCGAGGAGGCGGGUGCCAUGCACGACGUGCACAACAAUAGCUUUGCGGCUUGGAGCAUCAUGUGUCCGCUGCAUCUGGCCAAGAGCACGCCUAUGCAGCUGCCACAGGCUGUGGCACUUAGCUACGCCUCCAAUCGCCUGAGUCACCUGAGCCCGACUUACGUGCAGAUCAGUUACCCACGAAAUAUGUCGGAGCUGUUAACGAAGUCGCGUGCCACAAUUUCCGUCUGCGUCGGUCCCAUCCAGGAGAACUACUCGAAUGUGCUGCGCCUGGUUGAGUUCGUGGAGAUGUAUCGAUUGCAGGGCGCGACGCACUUUUACUUCUACUACGUGGAGGCCAGCGAGGAAGUGCGUCGCGUGCUGGAGCACUAUCGGCAGAAGGGCCUGGCCGACGUCUUCGAGUGGAAUGUGCAGUCGCAUUUGCAGGAUCUGCACUACGCCGGAAUUGUGGCGCAGUUCAAUGACUGCGUCUAUCGCGCCAAUGUCGUGGACAACUAUCGCUACGCAGCUGUCGUCGACUUGGACGAGGUGCUGAUGCCCUUGAAGCACAACUCGCUGGCGGACUAUUUGCGCCAGUGCGACGAGGGCCGCACCUCGGGCUUUGUCUUUCGCAAUGUGUUCUUCUAUCGCAAGGAUAGCAACGAUACCUUCAAUGCACCGGGCCACACGAUGAAUCGCGUGCUCUACACGCAGUCGAAAGUGCGCCGCACGCUGGAGGUGCUGCCCGCUUACAUAAGGAGCAAGGUCGUCGUCAACACGCGCGGCAUUGUGGAGAUGGGCAACCAUCAGGUGUACCGCUCGGCACCCGGCUACGUGGAUCACAUAGUGCAUCAGACGGUCGGGCUGCUCUUUCACUAUCGCGACAAGUGCAUCAAUUGUAAAAUGGUGCUGAUUGUGGACUAUACGGCGCGACGCUUCGGUUCGCUGCUAUUCGAUCGCGUUGAUGCCACAUGCCUCGAGGUCUUCAUGCAGCGACAUGGCAUCUGCCAGCUGGCGUAGCCGCAACUGUGCCUUAUCACCGUUGGCGUUAACGCCCCUCGGAUUGAGCGCUGAGCGACGAGCGCCCCAUACAUUCACUGAUGUCCAGUCUGGAGUCAACACUUGCAACUGCAACAUGCUUAAGUUUUGUUCGCUGCGUCGCGGACAAUCGAAGUCGUCGCCGUCGCCGUCGUCGGCGCCGCCUCUGCCCACCAAGCGCGUCUCAAAAAGUUCGUCGUUGCGCCUGCAGAAUGUCGCCUUGAGCGACGCGCAGCUGUUAAAUGUGCUCAGGGCGCAGCGUGCGCGAGGCCCUCUAAUACUGGCGCUCAGCAGUGCACAAACAACAACAACAACAAUUGCUGAACAGGAAACGGAAGUGGCGUCUUGCCAGCAUUGCGGCACGCCGUAUUCAACCCGCAAAACCCAAGCACUACAAAAUGGCAGCGCAGCAGCAGCUG
RNA transcript from Drosophila hydei, 2053 nucleotides. RefSeq lists it as uncharacterized. NCBI's taxonomy places the organism in Eukaryota, Metazoa, Arthropoda, Insecta, Diptera, Drosophilidae. The transcript is spliced from 6 exons. The record is from RefSeq and is a predicted model, not a curated record.